AACGCACCUUGCACCCUUUGGUAUUCCAAAGGGUAUGCUCGUUUGAGUGUCAUUGUACUCUCACACUCUCUGAUCUUGCAUUGGAGAGCGGUGGACUUGGAUGUUGCUGCUUUGCUGUGGCUCAUCUGAAAUGGGUUAGUGCAUCUCAUGGUUGGACUAGUACAGCGUGAUAAGCAUCUUCGCUGGCACCUUUCAUUGGGGCCCAACUUGGAGCUCUGUGCUUCAAACUGUCCUUGCGACAAAUAUCUGACAACUUGACCUCAAAUCGAGUAGGACUACCCGCUGAACUUAA
Molecule: unclassified non-coding RNA, 292 nt
Filed under: uncultured fungus
Lineage: Eukaryota; Fungi
Also listed under: 1 other name
Description: partial contains 5.8S ribosomal RNA, internal transcribed spacer 2, and large subunit ribosomal RNA
Source: RNAcentral